UACGGAGGGUGCAAGCGUUAAUCGGAAUUACUGGGCGUAAAGCGCACGUAGGUGGUUUGUUAAGCCAGCUGUGAAAUCCCCGGGCUCAACCUGGGAACUGCAUCCGAGACUGCAUUGCUAGAGUAUGGGAGAGGGAAGCGGAAUUUCUGGUGUAGCAGUGAAAUGCGUAGAUAUCAGAAGGAACAUCAGUGGCGAAGGCGACACCCUGGACUCAUACUGACACUGAGGUGCAAAAGCGUGGGGAGCAAACAGG
Molecule: ribosomal RNA, 253 nt
Filed under: uncultured bacterium
Lineage: Bacteria
Description: partial 16S ribosomal RNA
Rfam family: Bacterial small subunit ribosomal RNA
Source: RNAcentral